GAUGAAGAACGUAGCGAAAUGCGAUAACUAAUGUGAAUUGCAGAAUUCAGUGAAUCAUCGAGUCUUUGAACGCACAUUGCGCCCCCUGGUAUUCCGGGGGGCAUGCCUGUCCGAGCGUCAUUGCUGCCCUCAAGCACGGCUUGUGUGUUGCGCUCCGUCCCCCCGGGGACGGGCCCGAAAGGCAGCGGCGGCACCGAGUCCGGUCCUCGAGCGUAUGGGGCUUUGUCACCCGCUCUGUAGGCCCGGCCGGCGCCAGCCGACAACCCAUCAUCCUUUUCAGGUUGACCUCGGAUCAGGUAGGGAUACCCGCUGAACUUAAGCAUAUCAAUAAGCGGAGGA
RNAcentral lists this unclassified non-coding RNA (339 nucleotides) under soil metagenome. RNAcentral describes it as "partial contains 5.8S ribosomal RNA, internal transcribed spacer 2, and large subunit ribosomal RNA". The stretch from base 1 to 120 matches the Rfam family "5.8S ribosomal RNA", at positions 35 to 154 of the family's 154-position model. The record is from RNAcentral.